This is a long non-coding RNA of Cavia porcellus (domestic guinea pig), 4097 nucleotides long. RefSeq lists it as uncharacterized. Lineage: Eukaryota; Metazoa; Chordata; Mammalia; Rodentia; Caviidae. The record is from RefSeq and is a predicted model, not a curated record. The transcript has 4 exons.
AGAUGGACUGGGUUUCAGGGAGGAAGCGGGCAGGGGCGGCUUUGCAGAGUCCACUUUGUGGGGCUCCAUAGUAAGUGCCGACCUCAUCUGGCCCGUUUCAUGAGGCAAAAGGUUGUGAUGCCAGCCCUAGCUAUGGGGAACUGGUGGUGACUGGAAAAUGAAUAUUUAGCAGGUAGUUUGCAGCCUGGAGCAAGGUCAGCUUUGACUGAGAUAGGACAGAGGGGGCCAGGGACCAGCUCAGGUAAUGCCAGAUCUGCCUGAUGCAGCCUAUUCUCAGCUCUUGUUGCCUUCUCCCACCCUAGAAGGACAGGGAGUGCUCAGCAGAGGGGCAGGUGCAGGCAGACUCCUAGGUGUGGAGCCCAGCCCUCCUCGGGCAGUAGGUUGACUCCAGCCUUUUCACUGCCACACUACACAGUGGUCCCUGGGCUGCCACCACUCUGUGGCCACCGUGAGGACAGUCUCUUCCCUCCUGUUCCCAGGGAGGUGAUAGCCUUGUGGGUUGCAGGCAGUCCUUGGGUUGCAGGAAGAGACCAAGGGAAGCCAGACAUCUGGGUUUUGACCUGGCCCUGGAGGGAGCUGGGGUGACCCACAUCCUCCCUGGAAUUCAAAUCAUCAUGGAAAGUGUGGCUGGGACUCAAGGCAUCCAUGUGUGGAAGUGUGAGUGCAUGAUGGAGUGUGUGUGCUCACAAGCAUGUGGUAGAGCUUGUGCAUUGUGUGUGCAUCAUGAGUGUGAGUAUAUGCACAUGAUCAUAUAUGCAUGUACAUACACAAUUGUGAGUGAGACAGAGGAUGCCCCUGUGUUCAUGUGUACUCACAGGUAUAUGUGCUAGUUUGUACAUGCAAGUACACAUAAUGAGUGUGAGAUAGAGUUGCAUGCAAGCGUGUGAGUAUGGUGACAGCCUGUGUGCACGAGCACAUGAUGGCAUGUGUAGGUACAUGUGCACACAUGGGUGAGACAGCAUUGCAUUGGUGUGUGUGCGUAUGAAUGUGUGUAUCUAUACAGCAUGGGACCCUGAAGCCUGGGAAAGUGAGUGUGACACACGCUGGCUUGUGAAUAGUGGACGUUAGCUGAGACGACUUCUCCUGGCAGGUUCAGGGUCAGGGACUGGUGGCUGGGGACUCUGUGCCUGGGUGCUGGAAGUUGGGGGCUGAGAGCUCUGUGUAUGGGGCUGGUUCUCCUGCAGGCUCCAACCCUCCUCAGCCACUCAGUCCACAUCCUUCACCUUCACUUGGCAUCAGGCUUGGCCACGUGGAUCUUGUGGUGGAGGCUGACCAGUCUCAGGAGCAACCUGAUGCCCUCCUGGGAGCACUGGGUCCACCUCAUGCCUUGCUCCCUCUCCUCUGGACUCAUUCAAAUCAGCCUUCAGGUGGCCAGUGAAUGUUAGCCUGCCAAAUUCCGAGAGCCAGCCCCCGCCAUCUCCUCUAGCCUCUGACGGUAUCCCCCAACCAGUAACUUGGUGGUGUUCAGCAGGGCUUUCUGCACGUGUCUAUGGGGGAUCCUGGUGCCUCAGAGCUCAGAGGAGGACAGUUUCCCCACCACAGGCCAAUGACCUGGAUGGCUGUGGGCACCUCAGAGGCCCCACCCCAUAUGGUGUGGAUGGGCAGCUUCCUGGCACCCUCUGCAAGCUGAGCAACAAGUGGGCCUCACACUUGCCCUCCAGGGACUUCAAGGGAAGCCACAUGUGCACACCUAGACACAUGCCUACACGCACACAUGUGUGCACACACACAUUCACCCAACACAUAGACACAAACACAUGACAUACAGGACAGGCAAUAUGUAUACUCACAUGUGCAAACACAUGUACCCACAUGAACACAGAAGCAUGCCUGAGCAUUUGACACAUAACCACAUCAAUCUGUGUAUACAUGAACAUACACAAAUUUACCCACUCAUAUCCACACAUGGACAUACCAGCAGUGCCCACAUGCAUAUACCCAGAGGCACAUGGACACAUGUAUCCACAGGGAUACUUAAGAUACAUCCCUUCCCAGCCUCAGGGGGAUGGGCUGCCCUAUCCUGACCGAGCCCCGCCUCCCUUCCUGCUCACCUUGGCAACUAGGCAGGUCUGCCUGAUACAAGAUGCUCUCUGCUUGUUAGACUCAUGAGGACUCCUCCAUUCUACAUGAUGUCACUGUUUUGGGUUCAUCUGUUGAUGUCUGCCCAUGAUAACUGGGGUCGACGGCCACACAGAGCAUGGAGGGAUGUGAGAGUCACAGACGUGUGGUCUUGGGCAUGGGGCACUCCCAAGGCCAGCACCCAUGCUCCAGGGUGUUUGCUUUGCCCGCUGACUUGGCUGUGAUCUUAGACAACUGCUCGGUCUUCCUGCCUCUCUUUCUUACUGGAAAAGAGAAAAUCAUUCUUUGCUUUUUCACUCAACAGAUACAUAGGAAGCUUGGAUGUGGCAUGGGAUGCCAAGUGAGCCUUGAUUUUGGGGGCCUCUGUGCUCUUGCAGGAGGUAAGCUGCAAGUGGCACCUGUCCCCGGAAAGAGUUCAGCAGGGCCAAGCGUUUCAGGGUGAGGGAGGUGAGGGAGGACCACUCAGCUUGCUGGCUGAUGCUGCAGCCUCUGAGCUGGAGGAAGGAGAGGCCUUGCCUUGUGUCAAUGCUUGGAGAAGGGCACCCAGGAACAUGGUAAGUGCAAAGGCCCUGAGGUAGAACUUCAGACAGCAAAGAGGCCUGUGUGGCUGUGAGACCAGAAGCCCACAGGUUGUUUGUGAUUCUGUGACCACAGUGGGGGCCUUGAAAGGUAGCCUGGGGCCUUGAACCCCCAGGGUCCAAGCUAGAUGCCACACUGUUCAGGAGUCAGGGGGAGCAGUGGCCAUGGGGGCACUGGAGUGGCUGGAUUUGAUGGUAUGGGACAGCACAUGGGUGGGGGGUCAGGAAGGCGGGGCCUCAGGGAGAGGCCUGGUCAGAGCCGGGUGAGGGAACCAUCAGUGUGUAAGUGGUGUUUAACGUCACGGCGGUAGCAAGAUGGGCCAAGGAUAAUAACAGCCCUUCCUGAGGUUGUGAGAGUCAGACAGGCUGAUCCAGGGCUGCUUGGCACAUAAUAAGCACUGGGGCUGUGAGCUCAAACAAACAAACACAGCCAUCUGGCAGUCUCCAGGGGAACCUCACUCCCCGCUGGGGAGGAAGCCGGCAGCAUGGAGUGAGGAGACUCCCGGCCCAGGCCAGCUUGGAGGCCCCAGAGCUAUGCUGGCGGGCCCCAGUGGGCAGACCGCAGGCUCGGUCUCGUGGUGCCAUGGCAGACCUCCUUCAGGAACCAAAAUGCCCAGGAAGUGAACCGGAGGAGCCGCCGGCAACCAGAUGAGGCCUGGACUUGCUGGUCUGGAAGCUUCCAGACACUGCCUGAAAGUGCUGGCAUCUUCACCUCGCUGGUGUCACUCUUCAGUCACCAUCUCCAGCCCCUGGCCCUGAGGGCACCGUGGCUUAAUGCAUGAGUUACAGCAGGAAGAGUUACAGCAGUGCCUGGGAAGAGCUCAGCACUCAGGAUUCUCCACCUGUUAAUUUAGGCAGUUCUCACACAGUCUCUUCUGCCUGGUACUGCUGUUUUCACCUCCAUUUUACUUGGAAACCUGAAGCCCAGCAAAGGUAAUGAGCUUUGCUAAAGCUCCACAAAUGAUGGUGAUAGAUGCCAGACCCCGCCCUCGGUCUCUCCGAGCCUGAGUCUGCUCUCACCUAGUAGCAUCUGUGUCAGCUUUCCCAUCACUGGACACAGUAGCCAACACCCACAACUUAAAGGAGGUUAAAGCUGGCUCCCAUUUUAAGGAGAUCCAGUCUGUGGCCAGCUGGCUCCACGGCUAGCACCUCUAACUACAGUUGCGGUUUCUUUAAAAUGUAUUUCUUCCCAUAAUCUCAUCAGCUUCUGCUUCUCUGUUUUGAUGCUACAGCCUUGGUACAUCUGUGUUCAAAAUCAUCCUUCUCUCCUAUUUUCUUAGUGUUUUUGCUUGGUGUAGGGCAUCCUCUUUGAUUCUUAUUUUUAUUUCAACACAUAUUUUAAUCUUUUAAUAAGAUUUUGGCUUUUACACAUUUAAUUCUUUUGCUUCUUAUUUCUUGUUUCAUGUAAAUAUUAAAUUACUGCUGCUGCUUAAAAGUACC